GACGAACGCUGGCGGCGUGCUUAACACAUGCAAGUCGAACGGUGAAGCGCCUUCCUUUUUGGUGGGUGUGGAUCAGCGGCGAACGGGUGAGUAACACGUGAGUAACCUGCCCCCUUCUUCUGGACAACCGCAUGAAAGUGCGGCUAACACGUGAUAUAUUGGGCCUGUCGCAUCAUUGGUCUGGGAAAGAUUUGGUUUCGGUGGGGGAUGGCGUCGCGGCCUAUCAGCUUGUUGGUGGGGUGAUGGCCUACCAAGGCGAUGACGGGUAGCCGGCCUGAGAGGGUGGACGACCACAGAGGGACUGAACCAUGGACAAGACUCCUACAGGCGGCAGCAGUGGGGAAUAUUGCACGGUGGGCGGAAGCCUGAUGCAGCGCCGCGGGGGGGGGGAUGGAGGUCUGCGGGUUGUGAACCUCUUUCGCGAGUGAAGAAAGCUGGCCUCGUUUGUGGGUGGGUUGACGGUAGCUGGACAAGAAGCGCCGGCUAACUACGUG
RNAcentral lists this ribosomal RNA (494 nucleotides) under uncultured bacterium. Its description in RNAcentral is "partial 16S ribosomal RNA". It matches the Rfam family "Bacterial small subunit ribosomal RNA", at positions 28 to 507 of the family's 1533-position model. The record is from RNAcentral.